RNAcentral lists this long non-coding RNA (244 nucleotides) under Hordeum vulgare. Its description in RNAcentral is "long non-coding RNA (HVUL_LNC012214)". The record is from RNAcentral. Lineage: Eukaryota; Viridiplantae; Streptophyta; Magnoliopsida; Poales; Poaceae.
GCAAAGGCGUAGCAACCGGCAGCGCUUUGGCCAACUACAUCAUCCCGUGUUGAGUUGGGAGAUGAUGUGGGCAUACAUGGAUUAUAUGGGAAGACCCGCAAGUCCCACAUAUAAUUUGACGCGAUAGGGAGGUGUCCACGAACACUAUUUUUUGUGGGCUUGUUCGUGGGCACCAUGGACUGCCCGUGGCCAUCUAAAGUCUGAUAACUAACCUAAUAAACUAAAUAAAUAACCUAACUAAUUU